RNAcentral lists this ribosomal RNA (440 nucleotides) under uncultured bacterium. RNAcentral describes it as "partial 16S ribosomal RNA". It matches the Rfam family "Bacterial small subunit ribosomal RNA", at positions 339 to 795 of the family's 1533-position model. The record is from RNAcentral.
CUACGGGAGGCUCCAGUCGAGAAUCUUCGGCAAUGGACGAAAGUCUGACCGAGCGACGCCGCGUGCGGGAUGAAGGCCUUCGGGUUGUAAACCGCUGUCAGAGGGAAGGAAAUUUUGACCGAUCCUCAAAGGAAGUACGGGCUAAGUUCGUGCCAGCAGCCGCGGUAAGACGAACCGUACAAACGUUAUUCGGAAUCACUGGGCUUAAAGGGUGCGUAGGUGGUCUAUUAAGUUGGGUGUGAAAUCCCUCGGCUCAACCGAGGAACUGCGCUCAAUACUGGUAGACUUGAGGGAGAUAGAGGUGAGCGGAACUGAUGGUGGAGCGGUGAAAUGCGUUGAUAUCAUCGGGAACACCUGUGGCGAAAGCGGCUCACUGGAUCUCUUCUGACACUGAGGCACGAAAGCUAGGGGAGCGAACGGGAUUAGAUACCCGCGUAGUC